UACGAAGGGGGCUAGCGUUGUUCGGAAUUACUGGGCGUAAAGCGUGCGCAGGCGGUUUGCUAAGACAGGUGUGAAAUCCCCGGGCUUAACCUGGGAACUGCGCUUGUUACUGGCAGGCUUGAGUGUGGCAGAGGGGGGUGGAAUUCCACGUGUAGCAGUGAAAUGCGUAGAGAUGUGGAGGAACACCGAUGGCGAAGGCAGCCCCCUGGGCUAACACUGACGCUCAUGCACGAAAGCGUGGGGAGCAAACAGG
RNAcentral lists this ribosomal RNA (253 nucleotides) under uncultured bacterium. RNAcentral's name for it is "partial 16S ribosomal RNA". It matches the Rfam family "Bacterial small subunit ribosomal RNA", at positions 524 to 776 of the family's 1533-position model. The record is from RNAcentral.